Molecule: ribosomal RNA, 446 nt
Filed under: uncultured bacterium
Lineage: Bacteria
Description: partial 16S ribosomal RNA
Rfam family: Bacterial small subunit ribosomal RNA
Source: RNAcentral
AACGAGCGCUGGCGGCCGGCUCAACACAUGCAAGUCGAACGCCCCGCCAGGGGAGUGGCAGACGGGUGAGUAACGCGUGGGAACGCGCCCUUCGCUUCGGAAUAGCCCCGGGAAACUGGGAGUAAUACCGAAUACGCCGUAUUGGCAGAGAUUUACCGCCAAAGGAUCGGCCCGCGUUAGAUUCGCUAGUUGGCGGUGUAAUGGACCACCAAGGCUACGAUCUAUAGCUGGUCUGAGAGGAUGAUCAGCCACACUGAGACUGAGACACGGCCCAGACCCCUACGGGAGGCAGCAGUGGGGAAUCUUGGACAAUGGGCGCAAGCCUGAUCCAGCCAUGCCGCGUGAGUGAAGAAGGCCUUAGGGUUGUAAAACUCUUUCGCCGGAGUAGGUAAUGACGGUAUCCGGAGAAGAAGCCCCGGCUAACCUCGUGCCAGCCGCCGCAGUAA